UGCUGACAUGUUAUUUAAUCUUUAUUAAAUAUACCCUGAAAAAAAACCUUCAAAUGAAGUCAUCUAUAAGAAAAGAACUUCAAGUUCUGAAAUUUACCAGGAAGCAAUCCAGUCUACUAACCACUACAAUUGUAUACAUGUGGAGUAUUCUUGUAUAUGUGAUAUCAGAAAAAUGCAAAAUGAUUAAAGAAUGUAUGCACUCAGAAGUCUGUGCCAAGAAGGAGAGCCAAGUACAGUUGGACUGACAUGAAGGAACUUCUAUUCUUAGGGAAGCUUUGCAGCCACCAAGGUCCCAGAAGUAUAAAGUUGAAAAGAGUGCCACAGAUAUGGUUGCAAAGGUUACAUAACACAUUUCUUCCAA
Molecule: long non-coding RNA, 361 nt
Filed under: Mus spicilegus (steppe mouse)
Lineage: Eukaryota; Metazoa; Chordata; Mammalia; Rodentia; Muridae
Description: lncRNA (ENSMSIG00000026618.1)
Source: RNAcentral